RNAcentral lists this ribosomal RNA (544 nucleotides) under Engyprosopon sp. BD-2002. RNAcentral describes it as "partial 16S ribosomal RNA". It matches the Rfam family "Bacterial large subunit ribosomal RNA", at positions 1912 to 2587 of the family's 2925-position model. Lineage: Eukaryota; Metazoa; Chordata; Actinopteri; Pleuronectiformes; Bothidae. The record is from RNAcentral.
GCCANUGACCUGUUCACGGCCGCGGUAUUCUGACCGUGCUAAGGUAGCGCAAUCACUUGUCUUUUAAUGAAGACCUGUAUGAAAGGAAUGACNAGGGCUUAACUGUCUCCUUUUCCCANUCAAUGAAAUUGAUCUCCCCGUGCAGAAGCGGGGAUAACAACACNAGACGAGAAGACCCUGUGGAGCUUGAGACACCAAUGCGGCUCAUGUUAAAACCCCCACCCCCGGAUAAAACUUAAUGAACCCCGCCUACUUGUCUUCGGUUGGGGCGACCCUGGGGCAUACAAAACCCCCAUGUGGAUAAGGAGCAUUAAAGGAAGUUCCCUAGAACCCCACACCCNUCUUAAAAACUAGAGCCCCUGCUNUAGUUAACGAGACUCUCGACUUAUAAUGAUCCGGCAAAACCGAUCAACGAACCUAGUUACCCCAGGGAUAACAGCGNUAUCCCCUUCCAGAGCCCAUAUCGCCAAGGGGGUUUACGACCUCGAUGUUGGAUCAGGACAUCCUAAUGGUGCAGCCGCUAUUAAGGUUCGUUUGUCAACGA